Molecule: non-coding RNA, 99 nt
Filed under: Oceanivirga miroungae
Lineage: Bacteria; Fusobacteriati; Fusobacteriota; Fusobacteriia; Fusobacteriales; Leptotrichiaceae
Description: Purine riboswitch aptamer
Rfam family: Purine riboswitch aptamer
About the family: Riboswitches are metabolite binding domains within certain messenger RNAs that serve as precision sensors for their corresponding targets. Allosteric rearrangement of mRNA structure is mediated by ligand binding, and this results in modulation of gene expression.
Source: Rfam by way of RNAcentral
UGUACUAUUGAAAUAUAAGUUCGUAUAAGCUCAUAAUAUGGUUGAGCGUUUCUACCGGUUUACCGUAAAUUACCGACUAUGAAUGGAGGAAAUAUGCUA